Molecule: non-coding RNA, 2895 nt
Organism: Pantherophis guttatus
Lineage: Eukaryota; Metazoa; Chordata; Lepidosauria; Squamata; Colubridae
Source: RefSeq, a predicted model, not a curated record
AGUUGAGAACUGAAUUCAGAGGUAAUCUGGAAACAGAGAGCAGAAUGAAGAAAGUUUAGACCAACCACAAAUUCCGUCACCAAAUCUGGUCUUCUCCAUGAAGUAAGGCAUAAAAUAUCCAGACUGUUUCAAAAGCCAAAUCUGGAAAUGAGAGCUCAAAAGAUUGAAAUCAAAGAAUGCAUGCAGGGUGUCAUUGCUAACCAAAAAAAGAUGAGGCUCAGAAAGUAUGAAAUUAUUCAGGACUGGAAAAUAAUAAGGGACAAGCAAAGUGUAGUUUUGCAACCACUAUAAUGAUUCUUUACCAUCUAAGCCACUAAGAGUUAUUGGUUUACACCAGGAUUUCUCAAUAUUGACAAUUUUAAGAAGUAUGGACCAGCUUUCCACCAAUCCUAGAAUUACCUGGCCAACCAUGUAGAAGUUGAGUCUAUGUGUUUGGAGAACAUGUUUUAACCUAUAUAACUAUAUGGGUGGAAGAUGCCUAUAUGCACUGUCCUAAACCCUCUGAAGAGCAGAUUAAAAUCCAAAUGGCUAUCAUUUAAAUGGCAAUGAUGAAACAACGAACUACCAGUAAAUACCUUUCCUUUUAAAAUGAUGCUCCAUAAAAAUUUCAUACCACCCAUGGUACGCCUUUGAACCAGAGUUCAACAUACCACCAUGAUAUGCUUCUGCAAGAGUGCAGCCACCCUUUUUUAAUGGUGGUUCUUAUUCCUGAACGGCCAGUAUCUUGAUGGAGAGAAUGAAAUAGAGCCCAUUAUGGAAUGCCACAGGCCCUUUUGCUCCUCUUUUUUUUUUUUUUUAAUUUGAUUUAUAUGCCGCCCUUCUCCGGAGACUCAGGGCGGCUUACAAUGUGCUCAGCAAUAGCCUUCAUCCUUUUGUAUAUUUAUACAAAGUCAGCUUAUUGCCCCCACAAACUGGGUCCUCAUUUCACCUACCUUAGAAAGGAUGGAAGGCUGAGUCAACCUUGAGCCUUGGCGAGAUUCGAACCCUGCAGUAAUUGCAGGCAGCUGGUCUUAAUAACUAGCUUAAUAACAGGGUGCCUUAGACCCCUGUACUACCAAGGCUCUUUUUUAACUCUUAUUUAACAGCUACAUGAAGCCAUUGGGUAAUGUCACUCAGCAGCAAAGGGUGAGUAUCAUCAACAUGUUGAUGAUAUUACUCUUUAAAUGUCUGCACUGGGUUAGAAAAAUGAUGCAAUGAAGAGUCUUGACUGGGUUAUUUGGGGAGGAACAGACUUAAGUUGAACCUUAGCAAGGUCGAAUGGCAAGUUCAUAAUCUGGAGUCUCAAUCUAAGGAUGAGUCAAGACUUCCUAUAUGAUAUGAGUAAGCUUGAACAUGGGAGAACAUAACGUAACACUGACUGUUACUGCCACAUUUAAAAUCUGGCUGUCACCAAGUCUCUGCAUAGGAGAUCAUGGAAAAAUCUAGUCAUAAUUAUCUCUUCUCCAAAGUAUUGAGAUGACAGUUCCCAGAAUCCCAAUCAAAUGUAGCCUAAUAAACUAUGCAGUUUGGUAGUCUGAGAAUUGUGAUCCCAGCAUAUCUGGAGGGCAACAGAUUACAGAAGCCUGCCUUCCAGGUUUCUUAAACUGGCUGAACAAUAAAGCUUAUAGUUAUUUCAGCAAUUGUCUGCAAAGUUGAACAGACACUUUCACUUUUCAUAAAAUUAACAACCGUUUAUCUUUUCAGCAGUUAGGUCCAUUGCUAUCUCAAAAUUUAUCUAAAGGAUCACCUGAAAGACCACCUGAAUUCAUCAAUGAUCCCAAAACUGUUUAAAAAUUAUCUUUCUAGCUCCUUAGCUUUAUCCGCUUUCCCCCAAAAGAAAUAUUCCAUAUAGCACAAAUAUUCUUUUAAUGAGAAAAUGCAUUUCACCCUUCUACCACAGUUGUUUUUACUUAAAGCAAUUCUAGGAGGAAACUUUAGCUAAAAUGCAAUUAUUUGCCCAAGAGGAUUUAGGAGUUUGUUAGAAUCAGUUCCAUUUCAAUAUCCUUGCCUGAAUAUGACUCAGUUCAAAACCACAAAACCUCCUUCAUUUUUAUCUUCACAUUCAUCACUAUCUUGCAAACCUUUCUCCGUAGCCUAAUAAUUUCCUAGCAUCUGAAACCUGAGUGAAAUCAGCACUCCCUCCCCAACAAAAAAUAAUAAAAGUACCUUGUUCUCUAAAAAACCCUUAUGACAAAUAUACAAUUAAUAUUUAGGCAUUCAGUAUUUUGGUAUGCUCUGAUACAGUCUUCUGAUCUCUCCAGCCAACAUCACCCGUUGCUUUUGUUCACUCAGUUGUUAGCAACCAUCUCCAAGAAAUGCAUCAGCUUUCCACCAAUCCUGAUGAAAGAUGGGAGGGGAAGGAGAAGAAAAAGUGUUGAGUUAUACCCAACUAACCGAAGUGUUUCCUUGAUUCAUUUAGAGGUGCUGGAUUCUUCUUAAAUGAUUUCCUAUGUUUAAGAAAUGACUGCAAAUGAAAAAAACAAAAAGAAAAUAGACUCAGCUAUAACUUUUCUCCCUGAUGAGUUAGUCCUUUAUUUGAAAAAAGGGGACUAGUAGUUAUGAAAGAGGUCUUAAAAUGGAAAGAAGGAAAGGAAGAAAGAAAGAGAAAGAAAAAAAGAAGGAAGGAAGAAAGGAAGGAAAGAAGGAAGGAAAGAAAGAAAGAAGGAAAGAAAGAGAAAGAAGUCUACUCUCUAAUCAUCUUUUCUGCAACAUGCAUCAAAUGGGAAUAAUACUUGCCUCUUGUGAUUGGUGCUUACCAACUAAUUCCCAGAAUUCUCAUCUAUACUGGCUGUGGAAUGCUGGGAAUUGAAAUUCCAACUCCUGGAAAUUGCCUAUUUGGGAAACUGUGUCUUUUAUCUUUAUCUUUAUGACUACUACUGCACCUGUUACUUAUUUCUAAAUAAAUGAGUACUUUGC